AACGAACGCUGGCGGCAGGCCUAACACAUGCAAGUCGAACGCCCCUUCGGGGGAGUGGCAGACGGGUGAGUAACGCGUGGGAACCUUCCCUGUGGUACGGAAUAACUCAGAGAAAUUUGAGCUAAUACCGUAUACGCCCUUCGGGGGAAAGAUUUAUCGCCAUAGGAUGGGCCCGCGUCGGAUUAGCUUGUUGGUGAGGUAAUGGCUCACCAAGGCGACGAUCCGUAGCUGGUCUUAGUGGAUGAUCAGCCACACUGGAACUGAGACACGGUCCAGACUCCUACGGGAGGCAGCAGUGGGGAAUAUUGGACAAUGGGCGCAAGCCUGAUCCAGCCAUGCCGCGUGAGUGACGAAGGCCUUAGGGUUGUAAAGCUCUUUUGGCGGGGACGAUAAUGACGGUACCCGCAGAAUAAGCCCCGGCUAACUUCGUGCCAGCCGCCGCCGUAACAC
Molecule: ribosomal RNA, 450 nt
Filed under: uncultured bacterium
Lineage: Bacteria
Description: bacterial SSU rRNA
Rfam family: Bacterial small subunit ribosomal RNA
Source: RNAcentral